This 590-nucleotide ribosomal RNA is filed under the name uncultured organism. RNAcentral's name for it is "eukaryotic LSU rRNA". The stretch from base 218 to 371 matches the Rfam family "5.8S ribosomal RNA". The record is from RNAcentral.
CAUUUCCGUAGGUGAACCUGCGGAAGGAUCAUUACCGAGUGUAGGGUUCCUAGCGAGCCCAACCUCCCACCCGUGUUUACUGUAACCUUAGUUGCUUCGGCGGGCCCGCCUUUAAGGCCGCCGGGGGGCAUCAGCCCCCGGGCCCGCGCCCGCCGGAGACACCACGAACUCUGUCUGAUCUAGUGAAGUCUGAGUUGAUUGUAUCGCAAUCAGUUAAAACUUUCAACAAUGGAUCUCUUGGUUCCGGCAUCGAUGAAGAACGCAGCGAAAUGCGAUAACUAGUGUGAAUUGCAGAAUUCCGUGAAUCAUCGAGUCUUUGAACGCACAUUGCGCCCCCUGGUAUUCCGGGGGGCAUGCCUGUCCGAGCGUCAUUGCUGCCCAUCAAGCACGGCUUGUGUGUUGGGUCGUCGUCCCCUCUUCGGGGGGGACGGGCCCCAAAGGCAGCGGCGGCACCGCGUCCGAUCCUCGAGCGUAUGGGGCUUUGUCACCCGCUCUGUAGGCCCGGCCGGGGCUUGCCGAACGCAAAACAACCAUUCUUUCAAGGUUGACCUCGGAUCAGGUAGGGAUACCCGCUGAACUUAAGCAUAUCA